Molecule: long non-coding RNA, 2039 nt
Organism: Esox lucius (northern pike)
Lineage: Eukaryota; Metazoa; Chordata; Actinopteri; Esociformes; Esocidae
Exons: 6
Source: RefSeq, a predicted model, not a curated record
AAGUAGCAGGGCAAUUUCUUGCACAAGAAGCAUUAUUGAUUGCCAUCCCCGAAGGAGGAACAAAACAAAAUAUUAGUUCAACGGCUAAAAGGAACAAACAGACAUCGUGGAUGCAAUUUAUUUUAAGGUAAAAACGGAUUUGGUUAAAAUGCUGCACGAAAACAGACAUUUCUUUCAAACUUCACAUCUUAACGUCUCCCACUUGUCUUGAAUGAAGCUUGUGCGCACAACUCGGUCUCUAUUCUGUGCUCCCUGUCGCCAUGAGCAGUGCUAGAGCGCCCACUAUUUCAAAACUCAGGAAUAUUAUUUCACAAGACUUGGAACAACUCAAUAAAAAAGUUACUAUCCCUUUCGACAACUUUUUGCUAACUUUCGGGUAACGAUUCUUCACGGUUUCCAACUUCCGAUAGAACAGAAAACAGCGCAGUUUGUAUUGCAAUGUUUUUUCUCUCCCAUUUCUUUAAUACAAAACCACCAGCAGUGUUUGUCAGCAUAUAUGAAAGUAGCCUACUGACGUUGGGAACAAGCGAACCACAGGCUGCAAAAGCGAAAAGGCUGGACACGGACUAUGAUGUUUCAACGUUACUAUUCACAUGAAGAGCGAAAUGAUAUCUACGAGGACAAAGAAACGUCAGUCUCAGGAACUGAUAAAUGACAAGGACACAUUGGUGACCAGCACGAGAGUUCGAGCCGCCGACCGAAAGCGUAAGAAGGGAAAAAGACCUACUUUUGGCCAGUUUUCUCGCUCUCGCCUUGGAUCUCAUCGUGUCGGCUUGUAGAUUCCUCUCGUCCUCGAUCACUUAUCUCUUCCCCUCCUCCCUCUCAGCACCAUCUCGCCCCCCUCCCCUACCAGCACCAUUGCCACCACCACCGUCUUGACUACCCCUUUCAAGAGCAAUAACUUAUUUUUCGCAAACCUGUGGGAUCCGGACUGGCAACAGACACAGCCUGGUAAAUAUGAUGGGGUCAAGGUCGCAUCCCUGAACUACAAGCAUGCAGGCUUUGCCCCGGAGGAAGCCACACGAAACGGCAGCUGUUGACGCAUGCAGCAGCCUACUUUCAAUAGACCAGAUGAAGCCACGUACGGGAGCCGGGCUGGUUUCGAUUAAUUGUAUUUCUGAAGGAAACACGUAUAUUAAAUCGAGUUUUUUUUGUUGUUGUUUUCUUUUCUUUUUUUUAUUUUUACAAACGACGCUUUAUUUCUGCCCCAUGGAGCGAUGUCUUACUAAAAAAAGUACUGAAUGCAAACAUCCAGUACCAUCCGGGCGCAAGAGCUUCAAGUAAACGCAACGAGGAAGAAUAGGUUGUGAAUUCCUAAUGCGAUGUUACGAGUGUACCUUCGAUUUUAGUUCGAGGACCGGCUAUGCUCUGUAGACUGCAGCUCAGACCACAGCUAAGCCAUUGGAAUGGACAGAGUUAUUACAAAGUUGGUGUAACAAAAGAUCUUACUAUAAUGGACCGACAGGAGCCAGCAGUCGUCAGAUUGUUGGCAUUUUCCUGCGGUUUUAACACGGGAAGAGAGAGAGGCUGGCCCAGACCCCGGAAGAGAGGUGUGCUGCUGCAACCCAGGCCGCUGCUGCAAUAUUCGUGUUUUGCUCUGCUACACCCUGUAAUUUAUAUAUAUAUAUAUAUAUAUAUAUAUAUAUAUAUAUAUAUAUAAGCUUAUGGCUAUACAGAGCAGCGCCAUUCGAUAUUGGAAUUAAAUGAUCUUAGAAAUAUGCUUUCAAACCCUGCUUUAUUUUGUGCAUGUAUUUUUCUUAGGCAACGUUUUCUAUUUAAGCCUUUCCGUUAGAAGACAGUAGGCCUAGAUAUAUAGGCCUAUGCGUUCAGUGCGCACAGGAAUAUAGUUAGAUAACGGUGACUGGAUAAUUUAUUAGAAAGUUACAUUUGAGGCGUGUUGUACGAAAAGUAUGAAAAUGUAUGCACUCAAUAUUGUAAGUCGCUCUGGAUAUGAGUGUUUGCUACAUUAUUUAAAUGCAAAUGUAUCCAUCAAUGAGAUGAAAUAAACUGGUCCUGGAGCUUUAUCAUAAUCAUCUUUA